UGGUGGACAGGCGGUGGGCGAUGACCAAUGUGGUUCGCCCCUGCAUGACAUGAUCCAGGGCGGCCUGGAUGUGCCGUUCCGAUUCGGUGUCCAGCGCC
Molecule: transfer RNA, 98 nt
Filed under: Pseudomonas fluorescens
Lineage: Bacteria; Pseudomonadati; Pseudomonadota; Gammaproteobacteria; Pseudomonadales; Pseudomonadaceae
Description: tRNA-Ala
Source: RNAcentral